AGUUAACGCUGGCGGUAGGCCUAACACAUGCAAGUCGAACGGCAGCACAGUAAGAGCUUGCUCUUACUGGUGGCGAUUGGCGGACGGGUAGGGAUUCCACGGAACUUUCUUUUUCCGUGGGGAUUACCUAGGGGAACCUUCCCUUAUACCCCCUUCGUCCUUCUGGUUGAAACAGGGGAAUUUUCGAACUUUCUCGAUUUUAUUGUCCGGUUUCGGAUUAGCUAGUUGGCGGGGUAAAGGCCCACCAAGGCGACGAUCCGUAGCUUGUCUGAGAGGAUGAUCAGCCACACUGGAACUGAGACACGGUCCAGACUCCUACAGGAGGCAGCAGUGGGGAAUAUUGGACAAUGGGCGCAAGCCUGAACCAGCCAUACCGCGUGGGUGAAGAAGGACUUCGGGUUGUAAAGCCCUUUUGUUGGGAAAGAAAAGCAGCAGGUUAAUAACCCGCUGUACUGACGGUACCCAAAGAAUAAGCACCGGCUAACUACGUG
RNAcentral lists this ribosomal RNA (491 nucleotides) under uncultured bacterium. RNAcentral's name for it is "partial 16S ribosomal RNA". It matches the Rfam family "Bacterial small subunit ribosomal RNA", at positions 29 to 507 of the family's 1533-position model. The record is from RNAcentral.